This 73-nucleotide transfer RNA is filed under the name Stegodyphus mimosarum. It matches the Rfam family "tRNA". Rfam says of the family: Transfer RNA (tRNA) molecules are approximately 80 nucleotides in length. Lineage: Eukaryota; Metazoa; Arthropoda; Arachnida; Araneae; Eresidae. The record is from Rfam by way of RNAcentral.
GCCUACGUGGCGCAGUGGUGAGCACACUCCAUACGUAACCGAGAGGUCCGUGGUUCGAUUCCUGGCGAAGGCG